GUACACACACACAGGGCUACAGGUACACACACACAUACACAGGGCUACAGGUACACACACACACACACACACAGGGCUACAGGUACACACACACACACACACACACACACACACACAGGGCUACAGGUACACACACACACACUCACAGGGCUACAGAUACACACACACACACACACACACACACACACACACACAGGGCUACAGUUACACACACACACACAGGGCUACAGGUACACACACACACAGGGCUACAGGUACACACACACAGGGCUACAGGUACACACACACACAGGGCUACAGGUACACACACACACAGGGCUACAGGUACACACACACACACAGGGCUACAGGUACACACACACACACAGGGCUACAGGUACACACACACACACACAGGGCUACAGGUACACACACACACACACACACACACACACACACACACACACACACACACACAGGGCUACAGGUACACACACACACAGGGAUACAGAUACACACACACACACACACACACACACACACACACACACACACAGGGCUACAGGUACACACACACACACACACACACACACACACACACACACACACACACACACACACACACACAGGGCUACAG
Molecule: long non-coding RNA, 616 nt
Filed under: Salmo salar (Atlantic salmon)
Lineage: Eukaryota; Metazoa; Chordata; Actinopteri; Salmoniformes; Salmonidae
Description: lncRNA (ENSSSAG00000111393.1)
Source: RNAcentral